GAUUGGAGCGGCCGAUGUCAGAUUAUCUAUUUGGUGGGGUAAAGGCCUACCAAGGCGACGAUCCGUAGCGGGUCUGAGAGGAUGAUCCGCCACACUGGGACUGAGACACGGCCCAGACUCCUACGGGAGGCAGCAGUGGGGAAUUUUGGACAAUGGGGGCAACCCUGAUCCAGCCAUGCCGCGUGAGUGAAAAAGGCCUUCGGGUUGUAAAGCUCUUUCUCACGGAAAGAAAACGC
RNAcentral lists this ribosomal RNA (236 nucleotides) under uncultured bacterium. Its description in RNAcentral is "partial 16S ribosomal RNA". It matches the Rfam family "Bacterial small subunit ribosomal RNA", at positions 219 to 454 of the family's 1533-position model. The record is from RNAcentral.